UACGGAAGGCAGCAGGGGGAAGUAUUGCACAAUGGGCGCAAGCCUGAUGCAGCCAUGCCGCGUGUAUGAAGAAGGCCUUCGGGUUGUAAAGUACUUUCAUCGGGGAGGAAAAAACAAAAACUAAUAAUUUUAAUUUUCUUUGACGUUACCCGAAAAACGAAAGCACCGGCUAACUCCGUGCCAGCAGCCGCGGUAAUACGGAGGGUGCUAGCGUUAAUCAGAAUUACUGGGCGUAAAGAGCACGUAGGUGGUUUUUUUAAAGUUCAGAUGUGAAAUCCCUGGGCUUAACCUAGGAACUGCAUUUUUGAAACUGAAAUACUAGAGUAUCGUAGAGGGAGGUAGAAUUCUAGGUGUAGCGGUGAAAUGCGUAGAUAUCUGGAGGAAUACCUGUGGCGAAAGCGGCCUCCUAAACGAAUACUGACACUGAGGUGCGAAAGCGUGGGGAGCAAACAGGGAUUAGAUACC
This 465-nucleotide ribosomal RNA is filed under the name uncultured bacterium. RNAcentral describes it as "bacterial SSU rRNA". It matches the Rfam family "Bacterial small subunit ribosomal RNA", at positions 340 to 786 of the family's 1533-position model. The record is from RNAcentral.